RNAcentral lists this ribosomal RNA (374 nucleotides) under Limnodrilus sulphurensis. Its description in RNAcentral is "partial 12S ribosomal RNA". It matches the Rfam family "Bacterial small subunit ribosomal RNA", at positions 875 to 1415 of the family's 1533-position model. The record is from RNAcentral. Lineage: Eukaryota; Metazoa; Annelida; Clitellata; Tubificida; Naididae.
CCUACAAUGUAAAACAAAGCCGGACACUAAAAACCCUGUUUAAAAUUCAAAGAACUUGGCGGUGUCUUAUACAAUCAGGGGAACCUGUUCCUUAAUUCGAUAAUCCACGAAUGCUUAACCAUUUCUAGUAAACCAGCUUGUGUACUGCCGUCGCAUGUAUGCCUCUAAAAGCUAGCAUACAGAAAUAACUCCUAUUGACGUCAGGUCAAAGUGCAGCCAAUGAAAUGGUGGAAAUGGGUUACACCUCAAAAAAGAGCCAACGUCUUAUGAAAAUAAGAACUAAAGAUGGACUUGAGAGUAAUGAUUAAAACUUAGAUAUCAUGAACUGGAAUCUAAGACAUGCACACAUCGCCCGUCGCUCUCGUCGAAAGAUG